UGUCGUGAUGAACAAGAGAUCACAUCUCUAUAAUCCCAGCUCAUUGAGCGCCUCGAUCUAUGAACGCAGAGGUGCUAUGAGAACACGUCCCACCUGAUUAU
RNAcentral lists this small nucleolar RNA (101 nucleotides) under Baudoinia panamericana UAMH 10762. RNAcentral describes it as "A. fumigatus snoRNA Afu_304". It matches the Rfam family "A. fumigatus snoRNA Afu_304". The record is from Rfam by way of RNAcentral. Lineage: Eukaryota; Fungi; Ascomycota; Dothideomycetes; Mycosphaerellales; Teratosphaeriaceae.